UACGUAGGUCCCGAGCGUUGUCCGGAUUUAUUGGGCGUAAAGCGAGCGCAGGUGGUUUAUUAAGUCUGGUGUAAAAGGCAGUGGCUCAACCAUUGUAUGCAUUGGAAACUGGUAGACUUGAGUGCAGAAGAGGAGAGUGGAAUUCCAUGUGUAGCGGUGAAAUGCGUAGAUAUAUGGAGGAACACCGGUGGCGAAGGCGGCCUGCUGGACUGCAACUGACGUUGAGGCCCGAAAGCGUGGGGAGCAAACAGG
This 252-nucleotide ribosomal RNA is filed under the name uncultured bacterium. Its description in RNAcentral is "partial 16S ribosomal RNA". It matches the Rfam family "Bacterial small subunit ribosomal RNA", at positions 524 to 776 of the family's 1533-position model. The record is from RNAcentral.